GACGAACGCUGGCGGCGUGCUUAACACAUGCGAGUCGAACGGAAAGGCCCUGCUUUUGUGGGGUGCUCGAGUGGCGAACGGGUGAGUAACACGUGAGUAACCUGCCCUUGACUUUGGGAUAACUUCAGGAAACUGGGGCUAAUACCGGAUAGGAGCUCCCGCCGCAUGGUGGGGGUUGGAAAGUUUCGGCGGUUGGGGCUGGACUCGCGGCUUAUCGGCUCGUUGGUGGGGUAGUGGCUUACCAAGGCCGUGACGGGUAGCCGGCCGGGGAGGGUGACCGGCCACAUUGGGACGGAGAUACGGCCCAGACGCCUACGGGAGGCAGCAGUGGGUAAUGUUGCACAAUGGGCGGAAGCCUGAUGCAGCAACGCCGGGUGCGGGAUGACGGCCUUCGGGUUGGAAACCGCUUUCGCCUGUGACGAAUCGUGAGUGACGGUAAUGGGUAAAGAAGCACCGGCUAACUACGU
Molecule: ribosomal RNA, 467 nt
Filed under: uncultured bacterium
Lineage: Bacteria
Description: partial 16S ribosomal RNA
Rfam family: Bacterial small subunit ribosomal RNA
Source: RNAcentral